Non-coding RNA from Physcomitrium patens, 545 nucleotides. The record is from RefSeq and is a predicted model, not a curated record. Lineage: Eukaryota; Viridiplantae; Streptophyta; Bryopsida; Funariales; Funariaceae.
UUCCUUGAAUCAGUCCGAUCUGUGGCCCCAUACCCUAACUUGGGUUUUCUCAGGCAGUGGAGUUAGUGAGCGCGGUGUUUUAAGGUUUUUUGAUGUCAGGCGGCAAUGUCGUUAUAUAUUCUAUCGCUGCGUUAGAGCAAAUUUUGUGUCAGUAUGUUGGUGUGCGACGUGACCAGAGAAAGCUCCUGCUCUUCCUCGGUCUUGAACUGUGUGUGGCGAGAUUUGUAAUUUUAGCAUUUCUAUUUUGUCCGUCGUAAGUGAAAGCUCUAUCAGGUUCCUUGACCAGUGUUGUGUGUUUACUGAGCUUCUGGUACCGACGAAGGUGAUGGCACUUAUUCACACAAGUUGCAGUCACAGUUUAUCGUAGUUAGACGUUGCCUCAUUUGGAAGAGCGGAGGCUUCGAAGAUUUGUGUGGAUUUUGAUCCAGCAGGAUUGAGUCAGUCGUCUAUCUUAAAGCACAUUUCGAAGGCUUACUGCCGUAUGUGCCGGCCACCGUUUGUCAACAAUUGAUGUACAUGCAUGCCGAAUUUCGUGCAGUUCGUCC